AUUGAACGCUGGCGGCAUGCCUUACACAUGCAAGUCGAACGGCAGCACGGGAGCAAUCCUGGUGGCGAGUGGCGAACGGGUGAGUAAUGUAUCGGAACGUGCCCAGUCGUGGGGGAUAACGUAGCGAAAGCUACGCUAAUACCGCAUACGAUCUAUGGAUGAAAGCGGGGGAUCGCAAGACCUCGCGCGAUUGGAGCGGCCGAUAUCAGAUUAGGUAGUUGGUGGGGUAAAGGCUCACCAAGCCGACGAUCUGUAGCUGGUCUGAGAGGACGACCAGCCACACGAGGACUGAGACACGGCCCAGACUCCUACGGGCGGCAGCAGUGGGGAAUUUUGGACAAUGGGCGAAAGCCUGAUCCAGCAAUGCCGCGUGCAGGAUGAAGGCCUUCGGGUUGUAAACUGCUUUUGUACGGAACGAAACGGCGAACUCUAAUACAGUUUGCUAAUGACGGUACCGUAAGAAUAAGCACCGGCUAACUACGUGCCAGCCGCCGCCGUAA
RNAcentral lists this ribosomal RNA (500 nucleotides) under uncultured bacterium. RNAcentral's name for it is "partial 16S ribosomal RNA". It matches the Rfam family "Bacterial small subunit ribosomal RNA", at positions 30 to 523 of the family's 1533-position model. The record is from RNAcentral.